AACGGCCAUACCGUGCUGAAUAUACCGGUUCUCGUUAGAUCAGCAAGUCAAGCAUCAUUGGGCGCGUUCAGUACCGAGGGUGACCACCUGGGAACACC
This 98-nucleotide ribosomal RNA is filed under the name Caerostris extrusa. The record is from RNAcentral. Lineage: Eukaryota; Metazoa; Arthropoda; Arachnida; Araneae; Araneidae.